AAAACGGUCCUUUUAAGGACCACCAAUUUGUUAAAAGGAGAUUUUAU
Non-coding RNA from Megaselia scalaris, 47 nucleotides. The record is from Rfam. NCBI's taxonomy places the organism in Eukaryota, Metazoa, Arthropoda, Insecta, Diptera, Phoridae.